Conger conger (European conger) is the source of this 870-nucleotide long non-coding RNA. RefSeq lists it as uncharacterized. NCBI's taxonomy places the organism in Eukaryota, Metazoa, Chordata, Actinopteri, Anguilliformes, Congridae. The transcript is spliced from 7 exons. The record is from RefSeq and is a predicted model, not a curated record.
UCAAAGAUGGCGAAAAUUCAGCGUGGGAAUUCAGGGGCCCCAAAUGGUAAACAAAAAAGUAAGAAAAUGGCAGAAAAUACACAUUUAGGAAUCGCUUCCAGUGAAGAGGAUGACGAUGAGGCCCCCGAAGAGGUGACAUUCGAAGAUUCUAAAGCGGCGGCAUUACGGAGUAUGAGAGAAGCCAUUGAUACAGCAAGAAGGUGGCUGCAGUAAUAACUUGAGUUGGCUAGCAUCUUAUAAGUCACAUUUGUUUUUCGAUACGAUAGUUGGCUAGGUGGCAACUAUUAUUAAUCGAUAUUUGAUUUGCAGAGAAAAAAUACUUAAUUAAGGAAAAGCGAAGAAAGAGGCAGGAACUGUUCCAGGAACAAAAGAAAAGAAAGCUUCUCCCUGAUGACAUCCUGGAGGAAAUAGACUCUACUGUACCAAAGAAGCCCAAGGUAUCCAAAGCUCAAGUUGAAAAAGCAGGUGAUGGAGAGGAGAGUUGAGGAGCGAGGGAUCAGAUGCAGAUGAGGUAGAACAAAAGGGGGAGGAGAAGAAGAAGAAGAAGAAGAAGAAGAGGUGAAAGAGACGGAGUUUGAAGGGGAACUGUAGCGUUAUGAGACUGAAGGACCAGUCUCUAUCCAGCAAGCAGCAGCAGAGCGCUCUCGAUUUCAUCCAGUCCCGUCUGUAUGGCCUGGGGACCAACAGAACCACAGCUUUUUUCACUGGAAAACAAGAGGGCCUUGAACAAAAGCGCAGCUGUGCAGUUUGUGGACAAGCAGUGGGGUGCAGAGAAGAAAGAGGAGGCAGAGAAGUUCAAACAGAGGUGGAAGAACAAGCAGGGGGUGGGGCAGAGCUGAGGGCAGGGGCGGGGCCACUGCAGGAAUGACC